CCUACGGGAGGCAGCAGUGAGGAAUAUUGCUCAAUGGACGAGAGUCUGAACCAGCCAAGUCGCGUGAAGGAUGACUGCCCUAUGGGUUGUAAACUUCUUUUAUGUGGGCAUAAAACGUUCCACGUGUGGGAUUUUGUAUGUACCAUCUGAAUAAGGAUCGGCUAACUCCGUGCCAGCAGCCGCGGUAAUACGGAGGAUCCGAGCGUUAUCCGGAUUUAUUGGGUUUAAAGGGAGCGUAGGUGGAUUGUUAAGUCAGUUGUGAAAGUUUGCGGCUCAACCGUAAAAUUGCAGUUGAAACUGGCAGUCUUGAGUAAAGUAGAGGUGGGCGGAAUUCGUGGUGUAGCGGUGAAAUGCUUAGAUAUUACGAAGAACACCGAUUGCGAAGGCAGUUCACUGGACUGCAACUGACACUGAGGCUCGAAAGUGUGGGUAUCAAACAGGAUUAGAUACCCGUGUAGUC
This 460-nucleotide ribosomal RNA is filed under the name uncultured bacterium. Its description in RNAcentral is "partial 16S ribosomal RNA". It matches the Rfam family "Bacterial small subunit ribosomal RNA", at positions 338 to 795 of the family's 1533-position model. The record is from RNAcentral.